UGGGGAAUAUUGCACAAUGGGCGCAAGCCUGAUGCAGCCAUGCCGCGUGUAUGAAGAAGGCCUUCGGGUUGUAAAGUACUUUCAGCGGGGAGGAAGGUGUUGAGGCUAAUAACCUCAGCAAUUGACGUUACCCGCAGAAGAAGCACCGGCUAACUCCGUGCCAGCAGCCGCGGUAAUACGGAGGGUGCAAGCGUUAAUCGGAAUUACUGGGCGUAAAGCGCACGCAGGCGGUCUGUCAAGUCGGAUGUGAAAUCCCCGGGCUCAACCUGGGAACUGCAUUCGAAACUAGCAGGCUAGAGUCUUGUAGAGGGGGGUAGAAUUCCAGGUGUAGCGGUGAAAUGCGUAGAGAUCUGGAGGAAUACCGGUGGCGAAGGCGGCCCCCUGGACAAAGACUGACGCUCAGGUGCGAAAGCGUGGGGAGCAAACA
Molecule: ribosomal RNA, 427 nt
Filed under: uncultured bacterium
Lineage: Bacteria
Description: partial 16S ribosomal RNA
Rfam family: Bacterial small subunit ribosomal RNA
Source: RNAcentral